Molecule: ribosomal RNA, 345 nt
Filed under: Triticum aestivum (bread wheat)
Lineage: Eukaryota; Viridiplantae; Streptophyta; Magnoliopsida; Poales; Poaceae
Description: partial small subunit ribosomal RNA
Source: RNAcentral
AUGGAUCCAAACCCACAUGUGUUGUGUUGGAACGUGAGGGGCCUUAACAACCCUGCCAAGAAGCAUGCGGUUAGGGAGUUUGUUGUGGCAGCUAAGGUUAGCCUUGUGUGUCUCCAAGAGACGAAGCUCGAUGUAUUUGAUCCUUUCAUCGUUAUGCAAUGCAUUAGCCCAUCCUUCGAUGGGUUUGACUAUGUUCCGGCGGAGGAGACUCGUGGGGGCAUCCUAAUUGCAUGGGAUAGCACGAUGAUAUCCGUGAACAACAUUGUGCGCGACACCAACUCUAUCACAGGGCUCGUUCAUGAUAAGGGAGGAUCGACUUGGUGGGUUACGGUGGUGUACGGGCCG